RNAcentral lists this long non-coding RNA (1693 nucleotides) under Jatropha curcas. Its description in RNAcentral is "long non-coding RNA (JCUR_LNC002045)". Lineage: Eukaryota; Viridiplantae; Streptophyta; Magnoliopsida; Malpighiales; Euphorbiaceae. The record is from RNAcentral.
UUUGACUGACACUUGUGAUUUACCGGAAAGCUAUAGCGCCUUGAUUGAAUUGUCGUUGAGACACAUUUUUAGCAAGGUUUAUCUCAGGUUGACAGGUAUGCGCAGUUUGUCACCUUUAUUCAAGUAUUGAAAACUUCAAUUCAUAGAGUAUAUGCCAAUGACUUCAAAAUCAAUUAUGGGUUGGAUGGUGGGGAAAGUGUAAAAGUACUCAUUUUAAAUCCAUAGUUUUGUUCUAUGCCAUCUUAAAAAUUUUGGAAUCACAAGGCAUAAGUAUAAAAUUUUUCUUUUAAAUCAUGUAUUGACAAAUUUUGACAUAGCAAUUAUGUAGUCAUUAGCAUUGGUUUUUCAGAUUCAUGUAUCAUUUAUGUAACUCAAGAGGUGUUUUGAUACAAUAUAUUAAAUUCUCACUUCUAAACAAACAAAAAUGGAUGCCUCAUUUUAUAUAUGGAGAUUUGGACAGCAUAGACGGCUGAAAAGAUCCAUGGACAGCCGAGAAUAUCAAGUCCGGCUGGCCUGAAGAAAAACCAGAGUAAGCAAAAACAGCAGCCUCGGAUUAUACUCAAUAUGGAUGAAAAUAAUCUUUUUCUGCAAACUCUGGUUUAUUCUCAACCUUUUGGAAUAUAUUGAGAUUUUAACUGGAUUUUCUUGCCAUGAAAGCUUCAUCAACAUCUCAUAUCAACUAUCUUUCAACUUACUUUUUCCUUCUGGCCAUAUUGUCUUUCAGGUUGCAGAUUUUGGCCUUGCACAUGCAUCGAAGGAUGGCUCUAUUUCCUUUGAACCGGUAAAUACCGAUAUCCGAGGAACUCCAGGUAAGACGAUAAAUUUGACCCUCCUGCAUCAGAUGUUCCAUUCAUUAAGCUAAGAGUUCUAAUUGUAUGGUGCCAUUCAGGUUACAUGGAUCCUGAGUAUGUGGUCACUCAAGAGCUCACGGAGAAAAGUGAUGUGUAUAGUUAUGGUGUUGUACUUUUGGAGAUAGUAACUGGAAGACGGGCAAUACAAGACAACAUGAAUUUAUUGGAAUGGUCUCAAAUGUUCAUGGCUUCAGAAUUAAGACUACAUGAGUUAGUGGACCCAAGCAUCCAGAAUUCCUUUGACUUGGACCAGCUUCAAACAAUUGCCUCUAUUGUGAGAUGGUGCACACAGAGGGAAGGAAGGGCUAGACCUUCAAUCAAACAGGUCCUUAGGCUUUUAUAUGAGAGCUCAGACCCGAUACAUAGUGGGCUUUUACAAGCUGUGGAAGAUGAAGAGUAUGAGGGAAGUGAAGGUCGAGGAAGAAGAAGUAAAGGGAAAAUGCACAGAAGUGAUGCAGUUUUUUACAGUGGCGAUGGAAGAUGCCUUGCUUCUUCUUCAAGUACAUCAAGGUCAUAUUGCAGCAGAAGCUUUUUACUUGAAACUGGCUCCCCACAAUCUCCUUCCAAUAUACUUUCCCUCUGAGGCGGAUCAUUUUUUUUCUCUCCAAGCCUUUGACUGACACUUGUGAUUUACCGGAAAGCUAUAGCGCCUUGAUUGAAUUGUCGUUGAGACACAUUUUUAGCAAGGUUUAUCUCAGGUUGACAGGUAUGCGCAGUUUGUCACCUUUAUUCAAGUAUUGAAAACUUCAAUUCAUAGAGUAUAUGCCAAUGACUUCAAAAUCAAUUAUGGGUUGGAUGGUGGGGAAAGUGUAAAAGUACUCAUUUUAAAUCCAUAGUUUUGU